GAUGAACGCUGGCGGCGUGCCUAAUACAUGCAAGUCGAGCGAACGGACGAGAAGCUUGCUUCUCUGAUGUUAGCGGCGGACGGGUGAGUAACACGUGGAUAACCUACCUAUAAGACUGGGAUAACUUCGGGAAACCGUAGCUAAUACCGGAUAAUAUUUUGAACCGCAUUGUUCAAAAGUGAAAGACGGUCUUGCUGUCACUUAUAGAUGGAUCCGCGCUGCAUUAGCUAGUUGGUAAGGUAACGGCUUACCAAGGCGACGAUGCAUAGCCGACCUGAGAGGGUGAUCGGCCACACUGGAACUGAGACACGGUCAAGACUCCUACGGGAGGCAGCAGUAGGGAAUCUUCCGCAAUGGGCGAGAUCCUGACGAAGCAACGCCGCGCGAGUGAUGAAGAUCUUCGGAUCGUAAAACUCUGUUAUUAGGGAAGAACAUAUGUGUAAGUAACUGUACACAUCUUGACGGUACCUAAUCAGAAAGCAACGGCUAACUACGUG
RNAcentral lists this ribosomal RNA (497 nucleotides) under uncultured bacterium. RNAcentral's name for it is "partial 16S ribosomal RNA". It matches the Rfam family "Bacterial small subunit ribosomal RNA", at positions 28 to 507 of the family's 1533-position model. The record is from RNAcentral.